ACGGGAGGCAGCAGUGGGGAAUAUUGCACAAUGGGGGAAACCCUGAUGCAGCGAUGCCGCGUGGAGGAAGAAGGUUUUCGGAUUGUAAACUCCUGUCUUAAAGGACGAUAAUGACGGUACUUUAGGAGGAAGCUCCGGCUAACUACGUGCCAGCAGCCGCGGUAAUACGGAGGAUCCGAGCGUUAUCCGGAUUUAUUGGGUUUAAAGGGAGCGUAGGCGGAAGGUCAAGUCAGCUGUGAAAUGUAGUCGCUCAACGUCUGCACUGCAGUUGAAACUGGCCUCCUUGAGUGCGUAAGAGGCAGGCGGAAUUCGUCGUGUAGCGGUGAAAUGCUUAGAUAUGACGAAGAACUCCGAUUGCGAAGGCAGCUUGCUGGGCCGCAACUGACGCUGAAGCUCGAAGGUGCGGGUAUCGAACAGGAUUAGAUACCCUGGUA
RNAcentral lists this ribosomal RNA (434 nucleotides) under uncultured Prevotellaceae bacterium. RNAcentral's name for it is "partial 16S ribosomal RNA". It matches the Rfam family "Bacterial small subunit ribosomal RNA", at positions 341 to 792 of the family's 1533-position model. Lineage: Bacteria; Pseudomonadati; Bacteroidota; Bacteroidia; Bacteroidales; Prevotellaceae. The record is from RNAcentral.